Molecule: non-coding RNA, 4518 nt
Organism: Cyanistes caeruleus (blue tit)
Lineage: Eukaryota; Metazoa; Chordata; Aves; Passeriformes; Paridae
Source: RefSeq, a predicted model, not a curated record
CAGCGCUGCAGGGAGGAAUGCCUGCUUUCUAAUACUCAAAACUGUGUUAGAAAGUUUCUGUCUGGCCGAUUUCGGUAUCACAUUUGGCAGCUCCCAGUGGGACACUCUGCCUGAUCUCCCGUGGAUCCGAGGGAUCUCUGGAUCUUCACGCCAGCACCGGGACUUUCCUGGAGAAGACCACAGAUCCCCGGACCAGUCUGGGACACAGUCUCUGAAACUGGACGUGAUACAUUUUCCAGUAUCACUUGAGGAUGCAGUGAUCCUGACAGUCUGGGCUGGAGAGGUGCCUGGGUGAUCCAAAAGAGCAGAGCCUGUAAGAAUUAAAUUGAAACCUACAGCAGGACUGGUAAGGCAAAAGCAAUACCCUUUGAAAACAGAAAGUCAUAAGGGGUUAUAACCCCUUGUGGAAAAAUUUAUAAAAUAUGGCCUAUUGAAGGAAUGUGAAUCCAAAUUUAAUACCCCUAUAUUGCCAGUUAAGAAUGCAAACUGAAAGAAAGGCUUACCGGCUGGUACAGGACCUUAGAGCCAUAAAAAAGACAGUAGAAAAUAUUCACCCAGUAGCAGGAAAUCCUUACACCUUACUAGCAACCUUGAGUGAAAAACUGAAAUGGUUUACAGUAUUAGAUUUGAAAGAUGCCUUUUUCUGCAUCCCUUUGAGUAGUGAGACUCGAGAGCUAUUUGCUUUUGAAUGGGAAAAUGCAAACAGAGGGAGAAGCCAACUGACUUGGAUGGUUCUCCCACAGGGGUUUAAAAAUAGCCUUAUAGUAUUUGGAAAUCAAUGGGCAAAAGAAGUGGAGGAAUGGAAAAAUCAGAACCCUGUUGGAGUCUUGUUACAGUAUGGAGGUGACAUUCUGAUAGCCACUGACACUAAACAGCAAUGCUGGGAUCAGACUGUGGCCUUGCAGACUUUUGUGGGACUAACUGGAUAUAGAGAAUCCAAAGACAAAGCAGAAAUACUCCAGACCACAGUAACCCACUUGGGACUCAAAACUCUCCAAGGACAAAGUAGGCUGGGACAGGAAAGAAAAGAAGCAAUUUACCAACACCCACUGCCACAAACGGUAGAAGGAACAACAGAGCACAACUAUGUUUUGCUUUGUUUGCUUACAGCUAUAGAAGAAGUGUAUUCCAGCAGACCCAACUUAGGAGACAGACCCUUGGCAAGUCCUGAUUGAGAACUGUUUACUGAUGGGAGCAGCUUUGUCCAAAGAAAAUUACUGUCUGGAUAUCCAGUGACUACACACCAUGAGGUAAUUGAAUCAGGGGCACUCCUUCCAAUGUGAAUUGCACUCACUCGAGCUUUGGAACUGAGCACAGGAAAAUGAGUUAACAUUCAGACUGAUUCAAAAUACAAAAAUUUGGAGUGGUGCAUGCACACAGAGCCAUCUGGAAAGAGGCCUUUUGACAUCUCAAGGCACACUGAUCAAGAAUGGAAAACAAAUCUUGGAUUUGCUUGAAAGUAUCCAGAAGCCAGUUUUAUAGAAGUUUUAUUAUUAUGCACUGCAGUGCACACCAAGCAGGUAAGACCAAACUGGAGCUGGGGAAUCAUUUAGCCAAUAAGGCUGCCAAAGAGGCUGCAGAAAAAGGCACUUUAGAAAACGUAUCUUUAAUACCCCUCCCAGAGAUACCUCUCCCAGGAGAAAAAUCAGAGUAUAGUGCUAGGGACUGUCAAUUAAUUGAAACCAUAGAAGCAAAAUUUGAUCCACGAGGCUUGGCAGUUACUCCAACCAGGCAAAUAAUAGCCCCAGAAUUGAUCUUGCGUGAAAUUGUGGAUUGUGAACAUAAAGCCACUCAUUAGAGUACUGGAAAACUUUUGAAACAUUUACAAAAAUCCGUAAUUGGGUUUUAAACAGCUCAGAUUGUACAAUCAAGAAUACAACAAUGUAGAGUUUAUAAAAGAAACAGCUCUAACACAGCUAAUAAAGUAGUGCUAGGAGCCAUGAAAUCCAGAAAUGUUACAGGUGAAUAUUGGCUGAUUAAUUUCACUCAAUUACCCAGAAAAGGGGAUUGUUAACACCUCCUAGUUCUGGUGGACAACUUUUCUGUGUGGCCAGAAGCCAUUCCUUGUUGCACCCAUCAGGCUAGGGAAGUGACUAAAAUACUGUUGCAUGAAAUAAUAACUAGAUCUGAGGUACCUUUGGGAACGUCAUUAGCUCCCACUCUAAUGCGGAAGUGAUACAAUACAAUAGGUAUAUACAAUAGGUACAAUAGUUAGGUUAAGAAAGUAUAGGAAGAAAUAGUUUGGGAUCUUCAUACUCCUUCAUAGGCCACAAGCUAGUGGCAAACUAGACUGAAUGAAUUAUACAAAUUGCAAUUGGGUAAAAUAUGCCAGAAAACCUCCAGGACAGGAGUCCGAGCCUUACAUGUUGCUGUACUACGAAUCAGAAUUCAGCUGUGGGACACCAGCAAAAUAAGCCCCUAUGAGUUGCUGUAUGGUCGACCCUAUCACAUACCACACGUCAGAGGAGACACACACCUCUAACGAGGGGCCAGCUUCAAUAAUUACCUCAUUUCUCUUUAUAAAACUUCAUGGGAUUUACAGCCAGCAGUGGUGAUCUCCAGACUGACGGGAUUGGACGCACCAGCGCACGAGUUCCAGCCAGGAGAUUGGGUCUACUUAAAAGACUGGGGAACCUAUCUGCUCCAGUCAAAGUGGAGGGGACCUUUCAAACUCCCACUGACAACUUCAACUGCAUUGAAACUGGGCAGAAUAGAAUCACAGAUACAUUAUGCCAGAACUAAAAGGGCCAAAUCUCCUCAGGUAAUCAAAAAACCCAAGAUGCUCAAGUCUUGUUUUGCAAUCAACAUGACAGAAUGUCUACGGAUAUCCAGGAAAUUUGGAAACAAACUCAAAUUUUACAACACACAGCUCCAGAUGACACCUCCUGGGGAUCUGAAGAUAUCUAGACCAAACUUACUUCUUGGUAACCCAGCUGGACUUGCUUAAAACAUCUGCUUAUAACUGUCAGCACAAUAAUUGCUAUGUGUGUUUUAGCUUGCUUGUUGUAACCGUUAUGCUAUAAAAUGAAAAACAGUAAGAGACUAGUUCCCAUAAGGAACUUAGUCUCAAGAAAAGGGGGAACUUGAUAAGAACAGUAGAACAGAACAACAUUUUACUCUUAUCAAAUAAAGAGGAGUAGAUGAGACUGACAAAAUAGAAGUCAAGAGUAUGCCAAAGAGCCAUGUAAGGCCUUCCAAUAAGGGGCGUGACUAUGCAAAAUAAAGUAAUCUACAUACAUCAAGUAAGCAGGGAUAGCUAAUGAAUAUGUAACCAGUGUAACAUGAUAAAAUCUCUGCUGAGCCAACUCUCAGGGCAUGCAAUUAAUUAGAGGAAGGAUUGUCUGAAUGCCAAUGCUCUGCAAUAAAGAAUGCCUGUUUUCUAACACUCAAAACUGUGUUAGAAAGUUUCUAUCUGGCCACUUUUGGUAUCUAAAAUCCAACUGGCCUUGCAUAAGGAGCAAGGUGUCUCACAAGGCCAGUUCUGCAGGGUGUUCAGCACACCACCAUGAUGCCAUGCAAAAUGCGCUUAAACUGCUGCGGUAAAGCGCACUGAGUCUAGUGUGAAUAGAAAGGGAGGAAAGCUGCCAAGUUCCUAAGUAGGUCUCUAAUAAUAGGAAAAUGUAACAUUUAACCUCAGAAAAGAUGCAGAUUACAAUGCUAGUCUUUAAUGUUACAAACAGUGCUAAAAUAUUGUGUAUCUUUAAAGCAGAAGUCGCUUGAACAUUUAACAGCACUUGAAGAGCAGCAAGCCCUACUUUGCUAGAAAAGAAUAACUGAGCUUUUAAAAAAGUGACCAGGACUUUACAAGGGUAGAUUCUGAGCAUUACUUGAAAUGAAGACCAUUUAAAUAAUUUCAUGUUAUACAUCAUUAAGCUGAAACAUUCAAAACUAAGAGAACAAAGCACAGCAAAGAUGAAGUGAUCUGCCCAAGGUCACCUGAAAAUUUUUCUAAGAGGCAAGAAGAGAAACUAAUUUUUGACAAAUCUCUAUGAGCUGACCAGAAAGACAGCCUUCCCUCUAAAAUUUUAUCUUGGGGUGAUUAAGAUCAUAUGCAGGUACAAUUACAUUAUUUAUGUAAAGGCUAUGCCUAUCCCUGAAAAAAAAUGCAAGCAGGUAUCUCCUGAAUUAUCCAAGUAAACUAUGUUCUAUAGCAAAAAUUUGGCUUAUGCAAAUCAGAAAUUAGUUUAGUGCUAAGGCUGUGCUCUGUCACUAAAAAAAGAACUGUAUUUUGGAUGGAAUAGAUGUCCCCAUCAUAUUUAUAAUGAAGCCAAUCAAUUUUUGUAUUGUAAAAUAACCCUGUCCAGAACCUAGAUGAACCACUUGACAUGUCUUCCAAGGACUCUAUUGUUAUAGAUGCCUUUUUUACUGGAAUUUCAAUAAUUAAUCAUGUUUUGGGAUAGUUUUAUUUCUGUGUGGCUUACCCUUUGAUGAUCUAAUUUACAUUUAUAAUGAUCUACUCCCUUGUGGAUUAAUUGUUUGUGUUAUUUUCUCUAUUAAUCAGAUGUCAACAUUUGCAUU